GAAUUCGCCCUUAGAGUUUGAUCCUGGCUCAGGACGAACGCUGGCGGCGCGCCUAACACAUGCAAGUCGAACGAGCGAGAGAGAGCUUGCUUUCUCGAGCGAGUGGCGAACGGGUGAGUAACGCGUGAGGAACCUGCCUCAAAGAGGGGGACAACAGUUGGAAACGACUGCUAAUACCGCAUAAGCCCACAGGUCGGCAUCGACCAGAGGGAAAAGGAGCAAUCCGCUUUGAGAUGGCCUCGCGUCCGAUUAGCUAGUUGGUGAGGUAAUGGCCCACCAAGGCAACGAUCGGUAGCCGGACUGAGAGGUUGAACGGCCACAUUGGGACUGAGACACGGCCCAGACUCCUACGGGAGGCAGCAGUGGGGAAUAUUGCACAAUGGGGGAAACCCUGAUGCAGCGACGCCGCGUGGAGGAAGAAGGUCUUCGGAUUGUAAACUCCUGUUGUUGAGGAAGAUAAUGACGGUACUCAACAAGGAAGUGACGGCUAACUACGUGCCAGCAGCCGCGGUAAAACGUAGGUCACAAGCGUUGUCCGGAAUUACUGGGUGUAAAGGGAGCGCAGGCGGGAAGACAAGUUGGAAGUGAAAUCUAUGGGCUCAACCCAUAAACUGCUUUCAAAACUGUUUUUCUUGAGUAGUGCAGAGGUAGGCGGAAUUCCCGGUGUAGCGGUGGAAUGCGUAGAUAUCGGGAGGAACACCAGUGGCGAAGGCGGCCUACUGGGCACCAACUGACGCUGAGGCUCGAAAGUGUGGGUAGCAAACAGGAUUAGAUACCCUGGUAGUCCACACCGUAAACGAUGAAUACUAGGUGUUGGAGGAU
RNAcentral lists this ribosomal RNA (822 nucleotides) under uncultured bacterium. RNAcentral's name for it is "bacterial SSU rRNA". It matches the Rfam family "Bacterial small subunit ribosomal RNA", at positions 1 to 831 of the family's 1533-position model. The record is from RNAcentral.